RNAcentral lists this ribosomal RNA (253 nucleotides) under uncultured bacterium. Its description in RNAcentral is "partial 16S ribosomal RNA". It matches the Rfam family "Bacterial small subunit ribosomal RNA", at positions 524 to 776 of the family's 1533-position model. The record is from RNAcentral.
UACAGAGGGUGCGAGCGUUGUUCGGAAUUACUGGGCGUAAAGCGCACGUAGGCGGCUACUCAAGUCAGAGGUGAAAGCCCAGGGCUCAACCCUGGAACUGCCUUUGAAACUAGGUAGCUAGAAUCUUGGAGAGGUCAGUGGAAUUCCGAGUGUAGAGGUGAAAUUCGUAGAUAUUCGGAAGAACACCAGUGGCGAAGGCGACUGACUGGACAAGUAUUGACGCUGAGGUGCGAAAGCGUGGGGAGCAAACAGG